UAUAGCUAUAUAUGUUUAUUUCAAGUCCACCUAUACGAGUAAAUUAAUGUUUGAUUCCUUAGGGUUUCCUAUUUUAAACCCCUAGAACACGUGCUGGUUGGACUUGUUUUAUUCACCAAUCAAAAUGACUUUAAGAAUACAUAUUUUUAAAAGAACAGUUUCUAUUGGUUAGAUCUCUUUUUAUCUAAUUUACAUUUUUACAUAAUUUGGGCUUACUAUUUUCAAUUACUUAAUACUUUGUUUUUACGGCCAUUAGGGAAAUCCGAUUAUUUGGUUAGAUAGAAU
RNAcentral lists this long non-coding RNA (285 nucleotides) under Mytilus galloprovincialis (Mediterranean mussel). The record is from RNAcentral. Lineage: Eukaryota; Metazoa; Mollusca; Bivalvia; Mytilida; Mytilidae.